GCCCAGAUAGCUCAGUCGGUAGAGCAGCGGACUGAAAAUCCGCGUGUCGCUGGUUCGAUUCCGGCUCUGGGCA
RNAcentral lists this transfer RNA (73 nucleotides) under Lachnospiraceae bacterium. RNAcentral's name for it is "tRNA-Phe". It matches the Rfam family "tRNA". From Rfam's summary of the family: Transfer RNA (tRNA) molecules are approximately 80 nucleotides in length. Their secondary structure includes four short double-helical elements and three loops (D, anti-codon, and T loops). Further hydrogen bonds mediate the characteristic L-shaped molecular structure. tRNAs have two regions of fundamental functional importance: the anti-codon, which is responsible for specific mRNA codon recognition, and the 3' end, to which the tRNAs corresponding amino acid is attached (by aminoacyl-tRNA synthetases). tRNAs cope with the degeneracy of the genetic code in two manners: having more than one tRNA (with a specific anti-codon) for a particular amino acid; and 'wobble' base-pairing, i.e. permitting non-standard base-pairing at the 3rd anti-codon position. RNAcentral also lists the same sequence under 3 other names. Lineage: Bacteria; Bacillati; Bacillota; Clostridia; Lachnospirales; Lachnospiraceae. The record is from RNAcentral.